This 272-nucleotide small RNA is filed under the name Pluralibacter gergoviae. Its description in RNAcentral is "Soft rot Enterobacteriaceae Rev 39 5'UTR". It matches the Rfam family "Soft rot Enterobacteriaceae Rev 39 5'UTR". Rfam says of the family: From bacteria cultured under starvation conditions. Lineage: Bacteria; Pseudomonadati; Pseudomonadota; Gammaproteobacteria; Enterobacterales; Enterobacteriaceae. The record is from RNAcentral.
AUGUCUGUGGUACCUCUUUAGGUAUUCCUUCGAACAAGAUGCAAGAAAAGACAAAAUGACAGCCCUUCUACGAGUGAUUAGCCUAGUCGUGAUUAGCGUGGUGGUGAUUAUUAUCCCACCGUGCGGGGCUGCACUUGGACGAGGAAAGGCUUAAAAAUCAAGCCUUAACGAACUAAGACCCCCGCACCGCAAGGUCCGGGGGUUUUUUUAUGGCCUUAAAAUAUCAGUGAGCGGCAGAAGCUUAAUAUCAGCAUAAAAUUCUGUUUCUCCGG